RNAcentral lists this ribosomal RNA (637 nucleotides) under uncultured bacterium. Its description in RNAcentral is "bacterial SSU rRNA". It matches the Rfam family "Bacterial small subunit ribosomal RNA", at positions 607 to 1244 of the family's 1533-position model. The record is from RNAcentral.
GCUCAACUGAGGAAUUGCUUUGGAAACUGGAUGACUUGAGUGCAGUAGAGGAAAGUGGAACUCCAUGUGCAGCGGUGAAAUGCGUAGAUAUAUGGAAGAACACCAGUGGCGGAGGCGGCUUUCUGGACUGUAACUGACGUUGAGGCUCGAAAGUGUGGGUAGCAAACAGGAUUAGAUACCCUGGUAGUCCACACCGUAAACGAUGAGUGCUAGGUGUUUGAGGGUUUCCGCCCUUAAGUGCCGCAGCUAACGCAUUAAGCACUCCGCCUGGGGAGUACGACCGCAAGGUUGAAACUCAAAGGAAUUGACGGGGACCCGCACAAGCGGUGGAGCACGUGGUUUAAUUCGAAGCAACGCGAAGAACCUUACCAGGUCUUGACAUCCCUUGACAACUCCAGAGAUGGAGCGUUCCCUUCGGGGACAAGGUGACAGGUGGUGCAUGGUUGUCGUCAGCUCGUGUCGUGAGAUGUUGGGUUAAGUCCCGCAACGAGCGCAACCCUUAUUACUAGUUGCCAGCAUUCAGUUGGGCACUCUAGUGAGACUGCCGGUGACAAACCGGAGGAAGGUGGGGAUGACGUCAAAUCAUCAUGCCCCUUAUGACCUGGGCUACACACGUGCUACAAUGGCGUAUACAACG